GAUGAACGCUGGCGGCGUGCCUAAUACAUGCAAGUCGAGCGAACGGACGAGAAGCUUGCUUCUCUGAUGUUAGCGGCGGACGGGUGAGUAACACGUGGAUAACCUACCUAUAAGACUGGGAUAACUUCGGGAAACCGGAGCUAAUACCGGAUAAUAUUUUGAACCGCAUGGUUCAAAAGUGAAAGACGGUCUUGCUGUCACUUAUAGAUGGAUCCGCGCUGCAUUAGCUAGUUGGUAAGGUAACGGCUUACCAAGGCAACGAUGCAUAGCCGACCUGAGAGGGUGAUCGGCCACACUGGAACUGAGACACGGUCCAGACUCCUACGGGAGGCAGCAGUAGGGAAUCUUCCGCAAUGGGCGAAAGCCUGACGGAGCAACGCCGCGUGAGUGAUGAAGGUCUUCGGAUCGUAAAACUCUGUUAUUAGGGAAGAACAUAUGUGUAAGUAACUGUGCACAUCUUGACGGUACCUAAUCAGAAAGCCACGGCUAACUACGUGCCAGCAGCCGCGGUAAUACGUAGGUGGCAAGCGUCAUCCGGAAUUAUUGGGCGUAAAGCGCGCGUAGGCGGUUUUUUAAGUCUGAUGUGAAAGCCCACGGCUCAACCGUGGAGGGUCAUUGGAAACGUGGAAAACUUGAGUGCAGAAGAGGAAAGUGGAAUUCCAUGUGUAGCGGUGAAAUGCGCAGAGAUAUGGAGGAACACCAGUGGCGAAGGCGACUUGUCUGGUCUGUAACUGACGCUGAUGUGCGAAAGCGUGGGGAUCAAACAGGAUUAGAUACCCUGGUAGUCCACGCCGUAAACGAUGAGUGCUAAGUGUUAGGGGGUUUCCGCCCCUUAGUGCUGCAGCUAACGCAUUAAGCACUCCGCCUGGGGAGUACGACCGCAAGGUUGAAACUCAAAGGAAUUGACGGGGACCCGCACAAGCGGUGGAGCAUGUGGUUUAAUUCGAAGCAACGCGAAGAACCUUACCAAAUCUUGACAUCCUUUGACAACUCUAGAGAUAGAGCCUUCCCCUUCGGGGGGCAAAGUGACAGGUGGUGCAUGGUUGUCGUCAGCUCGUGUCGUGAGAUGUUGGGUUAAGUCCCGCAACGAGCGCAACCCUUAAGCUUAGUUGCCAUCAUUAAGUUGGGCACUCUAAGUUGACUGCCGGUGACAAACCGGAGGAAGGUGGGGAUGACGUCAAAUCAUCAUGCCCCUUAUGAUUUGGGCUACACACGUGCUACAAUGGACAAUACAAAGGGCAGCGAAACCGCGAGGUCAAGCAAAUCCCAUAAAGUUGUUCUCAGUUCGGAUUGUAGUCUGCAACUCGACUACAUGAAGCUGGAAUCGCUAGUAAUCGUAGAUCAGCAUGCUACGGUGAAUACGUUCCCGGGUCU
RNAcentral lists this ribosomal RNA (1374 nucleotides) under uncultured bacterium. RNAcentral describes it as "bacterial SSU rRNA". It matches the Rfam family "Bacterial small subunit ribosomal RNA", at positions 28 to 1381 of the family's 1533-position model. The record is from RNAcentral.